CGCUGGCGGCGUGCCUAACACAUGCAAGUCGAACGGGGGUUUGCUUCGGUAGAACCUUAGUGGCGAACGGGUGAGUAACGCGUAGGCAACCUGCCCCCCGGAUUGGGACAACACCCCGAAAGGGGUGCUAAUACCGGAUACGAAGAUAAUACCGCAUGGUGUUAUUUUGAAAGAUGGCCUCUACAGGUAAGCUAUCGCCGGGGGAUGGGCCUGCGUCCGAUUAGCUGGUUGGUGGGGUAACGGCCCACCAAGGCGACGAUCGGUAGCCGGUCUGAGAGGAUGAACGGCCACAUUGGGACUGAGACACGGCCCAGACUCCUACGGGAGGCAGCAGUGGGGAAUCUUCCGCAAUGGGCGCAAGCCUGACGGAGCAACGCCGCGUGAGUGAGGAAGUUUUUCGGAAACCGUAAAGCUCUGUUGUACAUGACGGACGUGCGAUCUGUCAACAACGGAUGGCAGUGACGGUAGUGUACGAGGAAGCCACGGCUAACUACGUGCCAGCAGCCGC
RNAcentral lists this ribosomal RNA (508 nucleotides) under uncultured bacterium. Its description in RNAcentral is "bacterial SSU rRNA". It matches the Rfam family "Bacterial small subunit ribosomal RNA", at positions 34 to 518 of the family's 1533-position model. The record is from RNAcentral.